UACGUAGGGGCCUAGCGUUGUCCGGAUUUAUUGGGCGUAAAGAGCUCGUAGGCGGUACGGUUAGUCAGGUGUGAAAUCUCCACGCUCAACGUGGAGGGGUCACUUGAUACUGCCGAGCUUGAGUCCGGUAGGGGAGUGUGGAAUUCCCGGUGUAGCGGUGAAAUGCGCAGAUAUCGGGAGGAACACCCGUGGCGAAGGCGGCACUCUGGGCCGGUACUGACGCUGAGGAGCGAAAGCGUGGGGAGCAAACAGG
Molecule: ribosomal RNA, 253 nt
Filed under: uncultured bacterium
Lineage: Bacteria
Description: partial 16S ribosomal RNA
Rfam family: Bacterial small subunit ribosomal RNA
Source: RNAcentral